GAUGAACGCUGGCGGCGUGCCUAAUACAUGCAAGUCGAGCGAACGGACGAGAAGCUUGCUUCUCUGAUGUUAGCGGCGGACGGGUGAGUAACACGUGGAUAACCUACCUAUAAGACUGGGAUAACUUCGGGAAACCGUAGCUAAUACCGGAUAAUAUUUUGAACCGCAUGGUUCAAAAGUGAAAGACGGUCUUGCUGUCACUUAUAGAUGGAUCCGCGCUGCAUUAGCUAGUUGGUAAGGUAACGGCUUACCAAGGCAACGAUGCAUAGCCGACCUGAGAGGGUGAUCGGCCACACUGGAACUGAGACACGGUCCAGACUCCUACGGGAGGCAGCAGUGGGGAAUCUUCCGCAAUGGGCGAAAGCCUGACGGAGCAACGCCGCGUGAGUGAUGAAGGUCUUCGGAUCGUAAAACUCUGUUAUUAGGGAAGAACAUAUGUGUAAGUAACUGUGCACAUCUUGACGGUACCUAAUCAGAAAGCCGCGGCUAACUACGUG
RNAcentral lists this ribosomal RNA (497 nucleotides) under uncultured bacterium. RNAcentral describes it as "partial 16S ribosomal RNA". It matches the Rfam family "Bacterial small subunit ribosomal RNA", at positions 28 to 507 of the family's 1533-position model. The record is from RNAcentral.